GUCCAUAUCCCUCCAAACCUGUCCUAUCCAUUUACCUGUCUAACUGCUUCUUAAAUGUUGGGAUAAUCCCGACCUCAACUACCUCAUCUGGAAGCGUGUUUCGUACAUCCACCACCCUGUGUGUAAAAAUGUU
Long non-coding RNA from Amblyraja radiata (thorny skate), 133 nucleotides. RefSeq lists it as uncharacterized. Lineage: Eukaryota; Metazoa; Chordata; Chondrichthyes; Rajiformes; Rajidae. The record is from RefSeq and is a predicted model, not a curated record. The transcript is spliced from 3 exons.